Molecule: ribosomal RNA, 550 nt
Filed under: uncultured bacterium
Lineage: Bacteria
Description: bacterial SSU rRNA
Rfam family: Bacterial small subunit ribosomal RNA
Source: RNAcentral
UAGGGAAUCUUCGGCAAUGGGGGCAACCCUGACCGAGCAACGCCGCGUGAGUGAAGAAGGUUUUCGGAUCGUAAAGCUCUGUUGUAAGUCAAGAACGAGUGUGAGAGUGGAAAGUUCACACUGUGACGGUAGCUUACCAGAAAGGGACGGCUAACUACGUGCCAGCAGCCGCGGUAAUACGUAGGUCCCGAGCGUUGUCCGGAUUUAUUGGGCGUAAAGCGAGCGCAGGCGGUUUGAUAAGUCUGAAGUUAAAGGCUGUGGCUCAACCAUAGUUCGCUUUGGAAACUGUCAAACUUGAGUGCAGAAGGGGAGAGUGGAAUUCCAUGUGUAGCGGUGAAAUGCGUAGAUAUAUGGAGGAACACCGGUGGCGAAAGCGGCUCUCUGGUCUGUAACUGACGCUGAGGCUCGAAAGCGUGGGGAGCGAACAGGAUUAGAUACCCUGGUAGUCCACGCCGUAAACGAUGAGUGCUAGGUGUUGGAUCCUUUCCGGGAUUCAGUGCCGCAGCUAACGCAUUAAGCGCUCCGCCUGGGGAGUACGACCGCAAGGUUG